RNAcentral lists this ribosomal RNA (254 nucleotides) under uncultured bacterium. Its description in RNAcentral is "partial 16S ribosomal RNA". It matches the Rfam family "Bacterial small subunit ribosomal RNA", at positions 524 to 776 of the family's 1533-position model. The record is from RNAcentral.
UACGUAGGCAGCGAGCGUUGUUCGGAGUUACUGGGCGUAAAGGGUGUGUAGGCGGUUGUUUAAGUUUGGUGUGAAAUCUCCCGGCUCAACUGGGAGGGUGCGCCGAAUACUGAAUGACUUGGAGUGCGGGAGAGGAAAGUGGAAUUCCUGGUGUAGCGGUGAAAUGCGUAGAUAUCAGGAGGAACACCGGUGGUGUAGACGGCUUUCUGGACCGUAACUGACGCUGAGACACGAAAUCGUGGGUAGCAAACAGG